UAUACAAAUCUUUCCACAUAUGACUGCCUAAUGUUAUCAUGUGAAGUCAUAUUUGUUUGUCAUUAGGGCUGCAGCUUGGGUUGGGCCAGUCCUAGUUUUUCCUGGCCUGGGAUUUUCAGCCCAAGGGCCAUGCUAUGAUUGGGAAAUCCCAACAUAACGUUUGGCUAGGUUAGGGUUGAGGCAUUGGGUUCAGCGCCAUGCCUUGUUUCAACAUUCAUCUGUGUGUGGUUUAUACGUUAUAUGUUUUGUACUUUUAUCAAUGGUCAUGAAGAUGUAUAUGGAUUUCUGACCUAAUUAAAUUGAUAUUGGUACACAUUAUCAUUCUCUCUUAACAUAAUCUCUCUUUGUGUGUGUGUGUGUCUGUGUUUCAGAUUUUGACCUUAUUUAGUCAAAUUGGACCAAGGGCAAUCUGUGGUGUUUAUCUAUUGGUGAUUCAUGUUAAAAAUUCAUGCUCAGCCUAGCCUGAAGUCAUUUUUCAUGCUGGGCAGUGUGAUUUCACAGCCCUAUCUCAGGCUAGGGUUGGGGAUCUGUGAGCUCAGGCUGGGUUUUGGUCUUCAAAAAACUGAGCCCAGCUGGAUCAGAUUGUUCCUUUACCAGUAGAUGAAUAGCACUAUGGGUAUAAUUUAUUUAAAUAAUAAUGUGAAUAAAGAUUCUUAGCUUAAAAAAUAGUACAACUGAUCAGAGAACUUUUCUGCCAUCUCCCUUGAUUUGAGAAAAGGAGAACAGUUAAAAGCAUGAUUUGGUUCUACAGGCUUUAUUCCGAGAACCUCUAAUGUUUGUGAGUAAUUGAUUUUGGAGUUCAUAUAUCAGGAGUUGAUACUUUUCAUUACUUUGCUGUCAUUAUUGGGAUGGUAUUUUCAUUAUGCAUGCUUAUAUAGCAUUCUCGUAGUAUUUGAUGCAAUAACCAGGAAAGGCAAAACAAGAAUUUUGUACCGAACUGCAUUUAGUAGUAAGACAGUUGAAUUGGGGUGAGUUUAUGAGAUAAAGGUGAAUGAAAAUAAUGCUGAGUUAGAAGUUGUAGAAAAUAAUGACGAGAUAGAAGUUAUAAAAAAUAAUGCUGAGUUUAUAGUUGUCAAGGCGUUGCCAAUGCGUCCAAGUGCCUUGAUGGCUUGAUCACCUUGCGUCCAGGUCCCCUCCAACACCUUGGUCGCCUAAACGCUGUGACAACUAUGCGUUAGACAGAACUAAUGCACACAGUCAUUUAAAUCUUGUCAAGUUCAGUAAGGCUGGGUACAAUGGAGAGAAUGUUGCUAUUAUGUGUUCUUAAUACAGAGGUGUUUUCAGAAAGAAUGAAACAAUAAAGAAUUAAGUAAAACAGCAUUGAAUUUGCAUGCAGUGGACUUUGAAUUUGCAUGUAGUGGGAAGUACCAUAUUAGUGGAUUUUAUUACCAAUGUCAUCAGGCAGAAGUGCAGGCUGUUUUGUAAGAGUAUUUCUGAAGUGGUAUGCUGUGUCCUCACUUUUAGAUUUGAGCCGGAGGAGUAAAGUUAUAAAGGAUGGGAUUAGGAAGUCGAUGGAAAA
Molecule: long non-coding RNA, 1519 nt
Organism: Macadamia integrifolia
Lineage: Eukaryota; Viridiplantae; Streptophyta; Magnoliopsida; Proteales; Proteaceae
Exons: 2
Source: RefSeq, a predicted model, not a curated record